This 488-nucleotide ribosomal RNA is filed under the name uncultured bacterium. Its description in RNAcentral is "bacterial SSU rRNA". It matches the Rfam family "Bacterial small subunit ribosomal RNA", at positions 357 to 842 of the family's 1533-position model. The record is from RNAcentral.
AGGAAUAUUGGUCAAUGGGAGAGAUCCUGAACCAGCCAAGCCGCGUGAGGGAAGACGGCCCUAUGGGUUGUAAACCUCUUUUGUCGGAGAACAAAACCCGGGACGUGUCCCGGACUGCGUGUAUCCGAAGAAAAAGCAUCGGCUAACUCCGUGCCAGCAGCCGCGGUAAUACGGAGGAUGCGAGCGUUAUCCGGAUUUAUUGGGUUUAAAGGGUGCGUAGGCGGUCCGUUAAGUCAGCGGUAAAAUUGCGGGGCUCAACCCCGUCGAGCCGUUGAAACUGGCAGACUUGAGUUGGCGAGAAGUACGCGGAAUGCGCGGUGUAGCGGUGAAAUGCAUAGAUAUCGCGCAGAACUCCGAUUGCGAAGGCAGCGUACCGGCGCCAGACUGACGCUGAGGCACGAAAGCGUGGGGAUCGAACAGGAUUAGAUACCCUGGUAGUCCACGCAGUAAACGAUGAAUGGUGGUUGUCCGGGUCGAAUGAGACCUGG